AUCCUUUUUUGGUUCAUAAGCUUGAUGAUUAGGAAUUCACGCCAAUGCGUGAUGUGACCGCUCAUUAAACCUUGUUACAACGUUCGCACAUUACCUGUCGGACA
Molecule: small nucleolar RNA, 104 nt
Filed under: Neotoma lepida (desert woodrat)
Lineage: Eukaryota; Metazoa; Chordata; Mammalia; Rodentia; Cricetidae
Description: Small nucleolar RNA U13
Rfam family: Small nucleolar RNA U13
Source: Rfam by way of RNAcentral